GACCUAAAUAUUGAAACUCAAAUAUUAGACUGCCAAUAAAACCAUACAGAAGACACUAUAUAUCCACCAAUUGGUCACUAAUGUAAAAUUAAUGAUAGAAAAUCUCAAGAAGUGAUGAUGAUAAUUGUACGAGUUUUUAAUAUCCACAAUCAGUUUUCAAAC
Juglans microcarpa x Juglans regia is the source of this 162-nucleotide long non-coding RNA. RefSeq lists it as uncharacterized. The record is from RefSeq and is a predicted model, not a curated record. The transcript is spliced from 4 exons. NCBI's taxonomy places the organism in Eukaryota, Viridiplantae, Streptophyta, Magnoliopsida, Fagales, Juglandaceae.